Molecule: ribosomal RNA, 253 nt
Filed under: uncultured bacterium
Lineage: Bacteria
Description: partial 16S ribosomal RNA
Rfam family: Bacterial small subunit ribosomal RNA
Source: RNAcentral
UACAGAGGGUGCGAGCGUUAAUCGGAAUUACUGGGCGUAAAGCGCGCGUAGGCGGCUUUGCAAGUCGGGUGUGAAAUCCCCAGGCUUAACCUGGGAACUGCAUUCGAGACUGCAUUGCUAGAGUAUGGGAGAGGGAAGUGGAAUUUCCGGUGUAGAGGUGAAAUUCGUAGAUAUUCGGAGGAACACCAGUGGCGAAGGCGGCUCACUGGCUCGAUACUGACGCUGAGGUGCGAAAGCGUGGGGAGCAAACAGG